This 253-nucleotide ribosomal RNA is filed under the name uncultured bacterium. Its description in RNAcentral is "partial 16S ribosomal RNA". It matches the Rfam family "Bacterial small subunit ribosomal RNA", at positions 524 to 776 of the family's 1533-position model. The record is from RNAcentral.
UACGUAGGCAGCGAGCGUUGUUCGGAGUUACUGGGCGUAAAGGUGUGUAGGCGGUUGCUUAAGUUUGGUGUGAAAUCUCCCGGCUCAACCGGGAGGGUGCGCCGAAUACUGGGUGACUAGAGUGCGGGAGAGGAAAGUGGAAUUCCUGGUGUAGCGGUGAAAUGCGUAGAUAUCAGGAGGAACACCGGUGGUGUAGACGGCUUUCUGGACCGUAACUGACGCUGAGACACGAAAGCGUGGGUAGCAAAACAGG